This 45-nucleotide non-coding RNA is filed under the name Schistosoma margrebowiei. Lineage: Eukaryota; Metazoa; Platyhelminthes; Trematoda; Strigeidida; Schistosomatidae. The record is from RNAcentral.
AUCCAGCUAACGAGUCCCGAAUAGGGCGAAACGUGUGUGUUGGAU